GCAAUGAAUUAGCCAUUCAUUUUUUACUCUAGUGUGAUUGAUUCAUAAAUGAUCAUCCAGAAUCUUCAUGAAAAAUGAAAGCUUUGAGUCUAAUCUUAAAAGUAGAGAGGGUGUAUGUCUCUGAGCUGGUUGCAUAGGACAGAGGCCUAACACCUGAAUCCUUUCUCUAGAAACUCUAGGAACCAACAACAAGCCUGCAGUCUGAGAGCAAAGUGCUCAGGUUAGCUAAAAUGAUAUUGUGAGGCCUUUAAGGUAUGACAGGGCCAGAUUACUCAGCACUUCUCCCUUUGUAGUCCUCUGUUAAUACACUUCCUGCAGGAUUUAGCAGCACUAGCCAUGUAAUCAAUUCAGCUGCUCUUCAUCAGAGUUAAGACGAUGUUACAUAGAGGUCAGGAAGUCGGGAAGUUCAUAUUAAAAAGACAAAUGCAGGAAAACAGAGUGAGGCAGGUCCGGGAAGAGAAGCUGAUAGCUCAAAAGGCUUCAAUUAAAUAUAUAGAAACCAGGUCUAAUAUUCAAAAUAUACUGUAAUGACGAUGUUACCGUCUACUACAGUAGGGGGCGACUUGCACCUUUAGUCUAACCACAGUAAACCUAAAGACGAGGAAGUAAAGUUGCCCAUGAGCAGUCACGUAAUUUCCUGCAACCUGUGGAGGUAACUGUCGCGGAGGUCCGUCUGCAUCUGUUUUUGUUUUCUCACGGCGCUGGGCUGCCCUCUGUGUCCCAAAUUCACCACCACACGUGCAAGGACCAUGUGCAGACAUCUGGAGUCCCACAUCAAAAAUGCAGUUUAUUUCCAAGAUACAAACAUUUGCAGAUGCAACCUGCCUUGCCGAGACACGGGUCAUUACCACUGCCCGCACUGUGAGAAAACAAUCAUGCGCAAAGAGGAUAUGACAUUACACGUAACUGGAUGUCGAAACACAUGUGAUACAGUGCCACCUUCGGCAGAAAUCAGGGCACCUGCAUCAUCGUCAUCAUCCUUUUUCACUCCCUGUGCUCCCCAGCAGAGGUCAGCGCAGCCUCCUUUGGAGCGUAACCUUCCCACAUCAGCUGGAGAGGACUCUGUAAUGUCAGACCAUUGUUGCACACUUGUGUCACCUGUUGACACUCCGCCAUCCUGUCAGCCAAACUCGGCUCCCCCUCCAGACGCCUGUAAACCACCUGCCGAGGCGGCACAGUCUGAAGCCACAGAGCUGCUCUCUUCACGUGUGAUGUAUUUAAAGUCAGUGAAGUGCCCUCACUGCGCCGUCGUUCUCUACAAAAAGAACUUAUUGGUGCACAUACAAAGAAAACAUUAAAGCUGCAUCUCAUAGUAAAAGCAAAGGUGUUAGUAAAGCUUAUGGCCUCUUUGACUUCCCAAAAGGCAUUCAUGUGAGACUUGGAUGACUGAGCUGCCUCAGAACAACAGUGGGGGCUGUUCAGUGGAUCAUUGACAGUAUGUGGAGAAAAACACAGUAGAAAAUUUGCUGACACAUAUGUAUUCCACACUGAAUUGAUUAUAUUUUGGUCUUUAUAUUAUAAUUUCUUGUUUAGAGGGAAUUCAACAUAUUUUUUUGCACUUUAUUAAAGGAGCGUUGUUUGGUUCACAGUUCCAUAUGAGUUUAGGUCUCCUCUGCCUCCAUGUAACCUCUUCUGAUUGGUUGCCUAUCACAAGCAUAAGGCUUGAACAGCAGAUGGAUGGAGCUUCUUUGUGACUGAGAUGAUCAUAUUUGGGAUAUCCACUCUCACUGGCAUCAUACAGAUCCAAAAGUAUAGAAGAUUGCCUGAAACUGAGUGUUCAAGUGAAUUAUUCGGUGGUCAAAGAUCACAACAUUUUGACAAUACCUGAAAUAUUUAUGUACCAAGUCUUAUAAAAUUUCACUUAAAAGGGAAACCAGGUUAAAUGUGUCAAUAUUCAGAAUAGAGAAAAAAAAAUCUGGAAAGUUUUCAGCUUUACGUCUCAGGAACAGGUGGUCAAAUUUUGAGAGUGUGUUGGUUUAGGCCGAGGCAGAAGUCCUAAAAAAACUAACUCUGUGGAGCAGAGCAGGCCCAUGCAUAUCUUUGUAGUUGCAAUCAUGUAUUUGCAGUUUCCCUUUCAAAGCAGGAGAGCCACAAUACAA
This is a long non-coding RNA of Pundamilia nyererei, 2099 nucleotides long. RefSeq lists it as uncharacterized. The transcript has 3 exons. Lineage: Eukaryota; Metazoa; Chordata; Actinopteri; Cichliformes; Cichlidae. The record is from RefSeq and is a predicted model, not a curated record.